UAAAUACUCCCUCCGUCUUAAAAUUAUUGUCUUAGAUUUAUCUAAAUACGGAUGUAUCAAGUCACGUUUUAGUAUUAGAUACAUCUGUAUCUAGACAAAUCUAAGACAAAAUGUUUGGGACGGAGGGAUAUUAG
Triticum aestivum (bread wheat) is the source of this 134-nucleotide non-coding RNA. The record is from Rfam. Lineage: Eukaryota; Viridiplantae; Streptophyta; Magnoliopsida; Poales; Poaceae.